Molecule: long non-coding RNA, 1520 nt
Organism: Bos taurus (domestic cattle)
Lineage: Eukaryota; Metazoa; Chordata; Mammalia; Artiodactyla; Bovidae
Source: Ensembl
GCUGCUGCUGCUGCUAAGUCACUUCAGUCGUGUCUGACUCUGUGCGACCCCAUAGAUGGCAGCCCACCAGGCUCCUCCUUCCCUGGGAUUCUCCAGUACAGGGGCAGAAACCUGGCCAGGGCAGGCCAUGGAGGCAGGAUUCAGUGGACGACUCAAACCCAGAGUCCUUCAUGAAUGGCUCUCUAGCCAUUCUCCACUCAGGAGCAUCUCCCAGGGAGAGUCCAGGUUAUAUUUAAGAAGACAGCAGAGGAAGAGGGAGAAGACUGCAAAUCAAGAGGCUUCUGAAAGAAAGGAGCUGCAAGGAAGACUGAGCACAGCCUCAGCAUCUUUUAGUUGUGGGGAUGAUAACAUACAGGGUAACCGUGGAAGCGCUGCAAGCCUUGUGUAGAAGAUGCUGGAGCCUUUGUCCCUCUGGGUCCCUGCCUGACUACAUGGAAUAGAAUUCUCUCCUGGCAGCCACUGGACUUCAUUGGAAUGCUUGGAAUGAUCUGGUUGCUCUUCUCUCUGCUAAGCUGCUGUGUUGUCCACCUCAGCAUGAAUCACCAACAAGAGGUCUGCUUCUGCUGCUACUAAGUCGCUGCAGUCGUGUCCGACUCUGUGCGACCCCAUAGAAGGCAGCCCACCAGGCUCCACCAUCUCUGGGAUUCUCCAGGCAAGAAUAUUGGAGUGGGUUGCCAUUUCCUUCUCCAAUGCAUAAAGUGAAAAGUCAAAGUGAAGUCACUCAGUUGUGUCCAACUCUUAGUGACCUCAUGGACAGCAGCCUACCAGGCUCCUCCGUCUAUGGGAUUUUCCAGUUUUGUUUUUUCAGUAGUCAUGUAUGGAUGUGAGAGUGGGACUAUAAAGAAAGCUGAGCGCUGAAGAAUUAAUGCUUUUGAACUGUGGCACUGGAGAAGAUUCUUGAGAGUCCCUUGGUCUGCAAGGAGAUCAAACCAGUAAAUCCUAAAGGAAAUCAGCCCUGAAUAUUCAUUGGAAGGACUGAUGCUCAAGCUGAAACUCCAAUACUUUGGCCACCUGAUGUGAAGAACUGACUCAUUUGAAAAGACCCAGAUGCUGGGAAAGAUUGAAGGUGGGAGGAGAAGGGGAUGACAGAGGAUGAGAUGGUUGGAUGGCAUCACCGACUCAAUGGACAUGAGUCUGAGUAAGCUCUGGGAGUUGCUGAUGGACAGGGAGGCCUGGUGUGCUGCAGUACACGGGGUUGCAAAAAUUUGGAUACGACUGAGCGACUGAACUGAACUGAGUUUGGUAACAAAUAUGAGAAUUAUAUAAUUUAAAUCUAAACUCUUGGUAUUUCUUUCUUUCUUUGGCAGUUUCAAAAGAGCUGUACCUUCUGUUAACUAUACAAAUCCUUUUUGAGAAUUACUAAAUCGAUAAUGUUCACAAGUUAUCCAAUUUCUCAUUACUCUUAGUUGUCAGUAUAAGAAAUCCCAUUUGAUUUAUCAUGUUAUAAUAUCUGAAACUCUGAUAGUUCAGUUCUGACAAAUUUUUAUUUUAUUUAAAAAUAUUGGAAUAAAGUAAAAUUU